This 5021-nucleotide long non-coding RNA is filed under the name Mytilus galloprovincialis (Mediterranean mussel). Lineage: Eukaryota; Metazoa; Mollusca; Bivalvia; Mytilida; Mytilidae. The record is from RNAcentral.
AAUAAAGAAUAAAACAGAAUACUCCUUCAUUCUUCCACAAAAGCAUGUUUUUUUUAAUGUUUUGAAGAGCAUUGCUUGAUUAAUACAAAAUUGUAUUCUUUAAGAAAAGUGAUUUCUUUUAAAUUUUUUAAUAAGUCUACACCAAUAGUAUUGUUGGGGGUUUAUGAAUAUUUCUGUUGAAAAGAUUGAAAUAGUCUCCUUUGUAUUUAUGUUUUUUUAAGUAAAACCAAACCUAUAUGUUUCAUGUAGUAGAAAACCUAAUUAAAGACACUAUUUUAUAUACAUUAUUUUAGAAAAGUUUAAAUAAUAUUUAAAAUUUGUUGAAGUUUACAUUUAUAUUUAUAUCAGUCUAUUAUAUUUGUUAAAUUACCUCUUGUGAGGUUGUUGUAAUUUUGUAUUGCAUUUUAUGAAUAUAUCUACUGUUUUUGAUGUUUUAUGUAAUAUACUUUUUAUAACUGUCUUGUCUACAAUAUUGACAGAUCCCCUACAGUACAUCACAUACUUGGUCGUUUUCUUUUUUUUUGUAUAGGCAAGAACUCAGUUUGUCUUCCCCAAGAAAUAAUGUUUCCUUUUCAAACAAAUCUUGUUGGCUAUCUAACUGCCCUUUUAAUAGAGAAACACAUAUUGAUUAUCUGAAGAAAGAAAAUAUAAUGUCUUAGAAAACUGACAAAAUAAAAUUAACUUGAUAGGAUAGUUCCAUUAAAGAAAAGGGGUGACCAAAUAUGGGGGCAAUUUUUUCCUUUAUAUUCACUGUAUAAAAAAUAUUUGACAACCAUCCAUUUUUAAGUACCUUCCCAUGCAUUGUCCCAUAUUAUGUUUUUGUAAAACAGCCCUUAGUGUUAUCAGUUUAUGAUUGACAUAUAAAACGCCUGUCUAUAUGUAUGUAUAUCAUAACAUUCCAACGACAUUAACAUUGCUCAUUUGACUUUUUCAUACAAUUAUUUUAUUUUAUAUGAAUAUAUUUUUUGGUCAUGAUAACAUUUAUUCUUGAGAUUUGAUUUUAAACUGAAAGCAUAAUGUCAAAAACUGCAAUAAGUUAGUUAUUGAUGGAAUGAGAUGUGGGGUAAAAUAAAAUACGACAGAAACCCAAUAACACAAAAAACCAAUUGACAAUUAGAGAUCAUCAUAUGUUCUUCAACAAUAAACAAGUGUGUAUAAUAUGUUAAGCUCAAAAUAACCCCAAUUUCAGGCAAGUAGGGAUAAGAGGGAAGUUUUGACUGUUAAAUCAUCCAUACCUAGCCUGUGACUUUGUUGUUGCAAAUUGGCGGAUCUUUAAAAAAAAAUGGAAAACGAUAAAUUAAAAAUUUUGACCUAACCAGGGAACACUUUUUAUGCCCCAUUUAUGGGCAUUAUGUUUUCUGGUCUGUGCGUCCAUUCGUCUGUUCCGUUUCAGGUUAAAGUUUUGGUUAAAGUUUUUGGUCGAGGUAGUUUUUGAUGAAGUUGAAGUCUGAUUAACAUGAAACUUAGUAAAUAUGUUCCCUAUGAUAUGAUCUUUCUAAUUUUAAUGCCAAAUUUGAGAUUUUAUACCAUUUUCAUGGUCCACUGAACAUAGAAAAUGAUAGUGCAGAUGGGGCAUCCAUGUACUUGGGACACAUUAUUGUUUAUGGCUUAAGUUGUGUAUAUCUUAAAUAUUAUGUUUAUAAAAUUCCCCAAAGUAAGGUGUUAAAGUUGAUAUUGAAUAUUCAGUUCUUUAAUUAUAUGAAAUGAGUGUUUUGGUCUUUCUGUCCCACCUAUAAGUAGGGGGCAUCAUAUUUUAGGUCCGUGCAUACAUCUGUAUGUUAAUCGAUCUACCUUUGUACCUUAUCAAGUUAAAAUAUAAGUGUGAGUUAGUUUUACAUGAAGACGUAGUCGCAUCAGCUGGAAACUUUGUACACAUGGAUCAUUUUUAUGUUUUUGAAAUAUGUACAGCUAAAUGAAGGUUGAAACCUUAUUCAUACAACAUUGAAAUGUUAGUGUUUGUACAGUUUGAUUCUAUACAUUACAUAUAUUAUUUUUAUUCAUUUGACAAAUUUACUUUGAGCCCUGUAAAACUUAUAUUUUUAAAAACUGUUGUGCAUUUUGAGAUACUAAGACAAUCAUUUUGUAGUGAAAAAUAUUCAUUAGUCCUUGCUUUAGUUGUAGAUUUCUAUUAUGUAGUUAAGCUUUUUUAAAAUUUUCCAACACUUUUGCUCAAUUCUCAGAUUUUUUUUAAUAUCUUUAAAUGUGAUUGUUGCAUUUUAUUGUUAAAGACAAUAAUUAUGAAAUAUUUACCAAAAUAUUAAAGGUUUUUGAUUUUUUUGGCAAUUUAUACUGAUCUGUUAAUAAAAUCAUAUAGUUUUUUAAAAUAGAUUUGAUUUCUGUAAAUUCAGAAAUUAUUGCGAAAAAUUCAACAAUGUUUAAAUCGCAAUAAUAAAUGCAUGCAACAAUUUCUCAGUUUACAGUAUAGAGGGGGGAAAAGGUUAUAAAGCAAUUGAUUGAUUAAGGGAAAUAUUUCAUCUUCAUUUCUAACUGUUUUAUUUAUUUAUAUUUUAGUUUUUUUAAGACAUUUUGUUUUGUAUAAGCCUGACAUGUCACUUUUUGACUUUAAAUAUUUUAUUUUUAUCCCGUCCCUUGAUUAAAUAUCUUCCGUCCAAAUAUUGUAAUUGUGUCUUUUUGCUGUUCCAUUUAUAAUGUUUACCAUAUUUUAAAUGUGAAUGAAAAAUUAAAUAGCAGAUGAUAAUUUAUAUUUUUAAAGCCAUUGAUAACUAUUUUAUUUAGUGUUUUGUCAAUCUGGUUUUAUUUUUUUAUCCCGUCCCUAGAUAAAAAAAAAGUUCCGUCCAAAGACUUUACUAGGUGAACAUCUUUUUUGCUCUUUCAUUUAUAAAUUUUACCAUGUGAAUGAAAAAAACAUUAAAAAAAACCAGAUGCUAUUUCACAUAAAUAAAACCUUUUAUAACAUAUUUAUUAAGCGGGUAUUGUGGUAAGAUUUGUAGUGAUUGAAUACUUUCAUAAUGUGACAUAGAAUCUCAACUGAAUACAUUUAGAGUUUCAGGGAUAUGGGGUAGCUACUAUGUUUAUAGGAUAUGUAUGACAUGAAAGUUGUAAAAAAAAAGUUGAUCAUAAUUGAGGUGAUUUUGCUUCUAUUGAGAAUUUGAAUGAGAUGAAACUUUUUUAAUCCUUGAUUAUUAUUCAGUUUAGGGACGACAUUAAAAGUUCAAUGUAGGAUAAAAAACUUAAUUCACAUAGUUUUUUCACUAACACCCUCACCCCCUCUUAAAUUAAUUUGGGAAAAAUUGAUUUACCAAUAGGGAUAUAUGUAAAAAUUGAUUUUAGAUAUACAAAACUUGUAGAAUUUUAACCCCCCCCCCCCACCCCCAAACUAUUUGAUUUAAGUUUUUUAUCCUACAUAGAUCUUUUGAUGUCGUCCCUUUAUAUGGUACUGUAUUAUGAUUAUCAAGAAUACUGUAGAUUUAUUAUUAUUUUUUGGACAUUAAUGUUCUUGGUUACAAGGAAAUCACAAAUUUGUUAAAUGUUCAACACUGUAUUAAUUUUCCUUAGGAAUGUGUGCAGACCUUGGCAAAGCCUUGAAAUAUAAUAUACACAAAAAGGCAAUAUUUACAAAAUUUACACAAAUUGGUACCUACAAAAUAAAAGAAUCCACAGUACUUGAUCUGAAUACUUAGAGGCUAGUUAUUCAAACAAUUGUCAGCCAUGAGGGUUUGAUGAAAUGGAUUAUAAUUUCAUAACUUUUUUCAGGCAGAAAAUUAAUGUCUAAUUAUAAGAAUAUACCUAACCAAUUAUUCUUGAAAAAUAUUAGGAAACUGCUACUAAUGUUUUAUCAAGAGGAUUUUCUUCAUUGAUAACCUUAUUUGAUGCAAUGUUUUAAAGUUAUAUUUUUUUUUCAAUAUCCAUUUAAGUGAAAAUGAUUAGUUAUUUAAUUUUAUAGCAUAAAUCUAUGUUUUAUUGUACAAAACCACCAUCUUUAUAAACGACACACAUUGUGUUGAAACAUCUUGUAUACAUAAUAUGAACUAUUCAAUAAUCAGCAUAUCAAAUUAGGUAAUAUGUAGUUUUGAUUCCAAGUUAAUUCCAGAUUUGUAUUACUUGGAAUGAAACCAAAUGGAAGUUGAUCAGUUGAUACUUUCCAUUGAUUGGUACAAACAUCUGUCAAUGUUAAGUUACCUACUUAGGUACUGUUAAAAAAGAAUAAAGUGGAUAAUUGGUAUUUGGUUAAACUGUGGCCUUAGAAUUCAUGACUGUCAGUUACAAGCAAAACAUUUGGUCAAUCAUUCCAUGUUAAUGCAUUUACUUUAAUACAUUAUAAUUUUAUUCCCAAUGCUUUAUUCAUUUAGUAAUUCUAACAAUUUUUUAACAGUAAAAUCUUAUUUUCUCCAAGAGUGAAUAAAGGGAAGAUAUUUAUUUGGUUUUACAGUAAAAUCUGAUUUUUUUUUUUGAGAUUGUGUGUGAACAGUGUAAACAGGAUUUGAUAAAUCAAAAAAUAAAUCUGAACAAUUUGUCAUGGCAAGAUUUGUACUACACCUGUAAAAUAAUUUAAAAUUGAAAAAGAAAUCACUGUUUGUUCAACAAACUACAAGUAUUAUUUGCAAGAUUUUUGGAUAACAACAACAUCCACUUAUUACCAUUUUCCUCAAUCCACAAACUUGAAUCCACUAAAAUAAAUAAAUUGACAGUAUGGUGUAUUGAAAGUAAACAUAUUGGACCUCACAGAGAAAGUUUUAAGUCCGCUGUUACAUUUUCUGUGAGAUCUUUUGAAGAAUUGUCCCCCUUUGUAAGAAAAACUACUUGUAUUCUUAUGUUCUAUGUUCUACUAUAGCACUAUCAUAAAUAUGUUUUACUUUGUCAAGAUAUUAUAGUAUCUCAAUGGAUUUGUUAAUUACAUAGAAAUAAAAUCUGUAUAAACCAUAUGUAAAAGUGUAAUCUGAAUUAUUGAUUUUGUUACACAUAUAAUCAGAAUUAAAUGAGUUUUUUUUUUAGUUUCAUACUAAAAUAUAAAUCAUGUUUGUUAUGUAAUUCACAUUGUUAUUUGAUAAUAAAAAUGGAAC